This 18720-nucleotide long non-coding RNA is filed under the name Cicer arietinum (chickpea). Its description in RNAcentral is "long non-coding RNA (CARI_LNC001768)". The record is from RNAcentral. Lineage: Eukaryota; Viridiplantae; Streptophyta; Magnoliopsida; Fabales; Fabaceae.
UCAUUCAAUGGCAUCAACAAUAGUAGCAAUGACCCUAAUCAACUCAAACACCUUGAACACAACAAAUUCACCAAAAUUCCCCAACCCCACAAAACUCAUCACGAAAGCCACUUCCCUAAAGAACAUAACCACAACAUUAAACACAACAAAACUAACAACUUCCAUAACAGGAACAGCACUAGCAGGAGCAGUAUUCUCAACACUUGGAACAUGUGACCCAGCUUUUGCAGCACAACAAAUAGCUGAAAUAGCAGAAGGAGGAGAUAACCGUGGAUUAGCACUUUUGUUACCAAUAAUUCCAGCCAUAGGUUGGGUUCUAUUCAACAUUCUUCAACCAACACUUAACCAAAUCAACAAAAUGCGUAACUCAAAAGGUGUUAUCAUUGGUUUGGGUCUUGGUGGUUUAGCUUCUUCAAGUUUUAUUUCAACUAAAGAUGCAAUGGCUAAUGAUAUCGUUUCCAUUGCUGAAGCUAGUGGUAGUGACAAUAGGGGUCAGCUUCUGUUGUUUGUUAUUGCUCCAGCUAUUCUUUGGGUUCUUUACAACAUUUUGCAACCUGCUCUUAAUCAAAUCAACAAAAUGAGAUCAAAGUGAAACUUCACUUUAUAUAAAUAAAAAUAAAAACUACUUUUUGCAUGUUGUUUUCUGUUAGUUAGUUUUUCUUUAGCCAUUCUGUUGUAACCGUUUACCAAUUCAUGUUGUAUAAGCAAUUGUACUUUCCUCUUUCUGAAUUAAACUGAAAGAUAUUAUUCAUUCUUACUGUAAUAUGAUAUCAAAUUAAAUAUUUUGUUACUCUUUUAUGUUCUCCCAUGCCUGAUCUUGAAAUUGAUUCCUCUUCUGAACAUGCUAUGCCUAAUUCCGGCGCGGAGAGUGUCCAUUUAUACAAAAAUCCAUAUCAUCUUCAUCCAGAUGACAAUCCUAGAGCAAUUCUUGUCACUCCUCCUUUGGAUGGUACCAAUUAUUACCGAUGGAGACGAUCUAUGCAAAGAGCCCUAUUAUCUAAGAACAAACUGAAAUUUGUUGAUGGAUCCAUUUCUGCACCUUCGUUCGCCGAUGCAAAAUGUGUAUCUUGGAUUAGAUGCAAUGCCAUGGUGGUUUCUUGGAUCAUUCGCACUCUCUCUUCUUCAAUUGCUAAGUCCGUAGUUCACACUAUAAAUGCUGCGGAUCUUUGGAAUGAACUCAAAGAACGUUUCACCAAAAGUAAUUUUCGUGUUUCUGAUAUUCUUCGUGAAAUUCACACGAUUAAUCAAGGGGAAAGUUCUGUUACUACAUUCUACAAUGAUUUAAAGGAAUUAUGGGACGAGUUUGAUCAAUUGCGCCCGAAUCCUAAUUGCAUAUGCACUUCAACAUGUGCUUGUUCUAUUUACAUCACCAAUGGCUUAAAGAAACACCAAGAAACCGAACAAGUUAUUUCUUUUCUCAACGGUCUCAACGCUAAAUUCUCCUAUGCUAAGACGCAAAUCCUCAUGGUGGACCCACUUCCACCUCUUUCAAGUGUUCUUGAAUCUCUACUUCAACACGAAUGUCAAAUUGAGUCCAAUGCUAGUAUUUUGGGUGAUUCCGAACUUGAAUUUCAACGCAAUCUAACACACUAAUACAUCUUCUUAGCAUGGGUUUAGAUUUGCAUAUAUUUAGCUAUAGAUGUCCAAAGUAUGAGUUAUAAUUUCAUAGUUUUCUUGUAUCUGGAUUGGUGCCUGUUUUUAUUCAAACACAAAUUCAGUUUUGCAGAAUAUGUAGCAUGGUGGCAUGUAUUUGGAUGUGCAUAUCUUAAACUAUAUAUUACUUGUGUACUAACAACAGUGCAAGGCUACGGUACUAACGAGUUCAUGUGUUUCCUUUGGUCUUAUACUCGACUCCUCUGCCAAAUUGUUGUAUAGAGCUAAAAUACAUGCAUGCCAUUAAAAUUAAUCUAUGAACACAGCAAUCAUGUUUAUAGCAUAAAGUAGAAAAAUCCACAUAAACAUGACAAAAUUAAAAUCUUUAGAAUACUCAAACCUCAUAUUUUUAACAUUAAUUGUGUUAAAGUCAUUGAUUGAAUCUAUAUAUAAUCUAUUAUAUAUAUUUAAAACAGACCUCAUGCCACCUCAUAGUAUUUCUUCCACAUUGUGCAAACAUAUUCCACCUCAGCAAAAAAAGCUUACGUGUACGCCUUAGAGAGUUCGUUUUUAUGUUUCACCUCAUUUUGGUCUAUUUAGUUUCUAAAUAAUUUUUUUCUCUUUUAAUCUCUCUAAUCUCUAAUUUUUUAAUGACUUCCUCCAACAAUUUCUUCUUCCCUCUUGUGUACGUCCCAAUCAUUCGCAAAAUCAUCUUCUUCGAAAUCGCCGACUCUACUCCAAAGAUACACUGAAAGAGGUAUAGGUUGAUUCAUUGCAAUAAAAAAUUUCCUUCUCUUUGUCCAUUUCUGAUUUUGCUGCCAUAAAUUCAAUUAUAUUCUAUGCAAUCUUUGAAAUCAAUCUGACUCAUAGUGACUUAAUGCUAUAUAGAUUUACAAUAAUACACGUACCAACCAAGAGUGGCAAAGGCAACAGGAAGCAUGAGAGCUUGAAAUGCAAUGUUGGAAUUAAGAAGAUGAAAAGCUGCAAAAUAUGUAUUACCAUUUCUAGAUUCAGUUAGAGGAAGCCACUCAUCUUUUGGACGUUGAAUUUGGAUUUGGUCACUAGGUGAUGAGUGGUUAGAUUCAAAAGAACUUCUUAGAUCCGCUCUAUUUAUCAUCAUUCGUUUCUUUCUUGCAAGAAGUUGUCUGUGUAUUGCAUGAAUUAGAUUCUAUUCGUCUUAUUUAUUCUUAAGAGAACCCCCCACCACAAACUAAAUAUUGUACAAAUUGAUUGUAUUAUCCCUUCCCUUCUUGAUUUCAAAUUGUUUCCUUUAUAUAGUAGAUAUCAAAUCUGUAAAUUAAUUAAUUAUUAUUUGUUUGUUUCUUAAGGAGCAUUUAAUGCUAAUAAGUAAGGAUGGUUGUGGACAGUAUCCUUAAUAGAUUCUAUUCGUCUUAUUUAUUCUUAAGAGAACCCCCACCACAAACUAAAUAUUGUACAAAUUGACUGUAUUAUCCCUUCCCUUCCUGAUUUCAAAUUGAUCAAAUCUGUGAAUUAAUUAAUUAUUAUUUGUUUGUUUCUUAAGGAGCAUUUAAUGCUAAUAAAUAAAGAAGCUUGUGGACAGUAUCCUUAAUAGAGUAAGUCUAAAAUUUCUAUACUAGAGAUAUAGAUUAAUAUUAAAUUAUUUAAAUUAUAUUGGUUGAUAAUAGCUGGCUUUUUCAGAUAAUAUAUAAUGGAAUAAAAUCAUGCUACAAAUAGGACAAAUAUUUAUUUUUAGUACCCCAAAUCAAAUAUUGUGUAAUAUUGCUUUUAUUUGUGUUUAAUGAAAAUUAAUUGUUUGAUUAAAAGUUAUUUAUAUAUUUCGUUUUUAUUUUAAUUUAUUUCAAAUUCUUGUAAUUAAUUUAGUAAGAUUGCAUUUAAUGUAGAAAUAGUGUGAGAGUAAAAUUACUGAAAAAUGAACAAGUGACAAGCACCGAUGCCUAGCCUCAAGUCCGGUAAGCACAAAUAUUCCGGAACCGACGACAGCACCGAUGCCGAACCAUAUCAAGUCCCACCAAUUCAACGUCUUCUUCAUCUCAUUACCACUCCGAGCCUUAACUUCGAAUAACUCCGAAUGAUCACUGGAUCGUUUCAACACACGAUCUUUCAAUCGGAAUGGUGUCUCCAUCACCGAUCUUCCAUAAUUUCCCCAACUUUUAAACGACUCCUCCGGGAAGAAGUCGUUUUUUUGGAAGGUGCAUCCUCUCCUCCGUACUCCGCCGCCGUUUUCCUCGCCAACCGCCAUAUCCCUGUUAUAACUAAAUAAAUUUAUAUCAGUUUAUGAUUUUACUGGAAAUAAGAAAUAGAAGAAGAAAUUUGCACCUCUAUAGUUUCUUGUCAAAGGUUGCUCAAAGUUUGAGCACCAGGAUAUUUAUUUAGAGAAUCACGGACUUGUACAUUAUUAUAUAUUCAAAUUGUCAACAUUCUAUAUAACUAUACAAAUCAACGUCAAUUACUACAUUUGAGAGUAUCCUUAAUAGAAUAUAUAAGUCUAACCAAUGGAAACUCAAUUAAUAAUAUAAACUAAUUUUUUUUUUACUCAAAUGAGAUAGCAGUUGAGAUCGGUUCUAUUUAUCAUCAUUCGUUACUUUCUUGCAAGAAGUUGUCUGUGUAUUGCAUGAAUUAGAUUUUAUUCGUCUUAUUUAUUCUUAAGAGAAUCCCCCACCACAAACUAAAUAUUGUACAAAUUGAGUGUAUUAUCCCUUCACUUCCUGAUUUCAAAUUGUUUCCUUUAUAUAGUAGAUAUCAAAUCUGUAAAUUAAUUAAUUAUUAUUUGUUUGUUUCUUAAGGAGCAUUUAAUGCUAAUAAGUAAGGAUCCUUGUGGACAAUAUCCUUAAUAGAUUCUAUUCGUCUUAUUUAUUCUUAAGAGAACCCCCCACCACAAACUAAAUAUUGUACAAAUUGACUGUAUUAUCCCUUCCCUUCCUGAUUUCAAAUUGUUUCCUUUAUAUAGUAGAUAUCAAAUCUGUAAAUUAAUUAAUUAUUAUUUGUUUGUUUCUUAAGGAGCAUUUAAUGCUAAUAAGUAAGGAUCCUUGUGGACAAUAUCCUUAAUAGAUUCUAUUCGUCUUAUUUAUUCUUAAGAGAACCCCCCACCACAAACUAAAUAUUGUACAAAUUGACUGUAUUAUCCCUUCCCUUCCUGAUUUCAAAUUGAUUAAAUCUGUGAAUUAAUUAAUUAUUAUUUGUUUGUUUCUUAAGGAGCAUUUAAUGCUAAUAAGUAAGGAAGCUUGUGGGCAGUAUCCUUAAUAGAGUAAGUCUAAAAUUUCUAUACUAGAGAUAUAGAUUAAUAUUAAAUUAUUUAAAUUAUAUUGGUUGAUAAUAGCUGGCUUUUUCAGAUAAUAUAUAAUGGAAUAAAAUCAUGCUACAAAUAGGACAAAUAUUUAUUUUUAGUACCCCAAAUCAAAUAUUGUGUAAUAUUGCUUUUAUUUGUGUUUAAUUGAAAUUAAUUGUUUGAUUAAAAGUUGUUUAUAUAUUUCGUUUUUAUUUUAAUUUAUUUCAAAUUCUUGUAAUUAAUUUAGUAAGAUUACAUUUAAUGUAGAAAUAGUGUGAGAGUAAAUUCUUGUAAUUCCAAAUGAUUUUAGUAUAGAUGUUACAUAAAUUGCUGAUUAAAUUAAAAUGGUUAAAUUAAAGCAAAUGAUGAUUGAGACCUUUUGGUGGGUGAUAGGCAAUGUGAGUGAAUACCAUGAGCUUGAGGUAUGUUGUGAUCCUACAUUUAAACUUGCAUUUUAAAAAAAUAAUUAAAUUAACGUUUUCUAAAUCCAACAUUUAAACUUGCAUUUUAAAAAAAUAAUUAAAUUAACGCUUUCUUAUAUAGUAACUAUGAGUCAGUUUGUUUAAUAUUUUUUUAAAGUGAGUUUAAUUUUAUAUUUUUAAAAACAAUUUUUAUGAUAAUUUAUUUAAAAAUAAUAGAAAUAGUUUUAACUCAUUUAUUAUCAAUUAAUAAUAAUAAUUUUGACAUUCAAUAAUUUAGAUAUUAAUUACUCAACAUUUUAACAAGAUAAAAAUUACCUCAAAACAUUGAUUAAUUUUUCACCCCAAUAAAAUUAUUAAAUUGGGAGUUUUGAAUAAUCGCCGUGAAAUGAUCUUUGAUUUAUAAAGAUAAUUAUUAAUUUAUAAAAAUUAAUAAUUUUUACGAUAAAAUAUAAAUAAUUAAUAUAAUGAUUAUCAUCAAAAUAAUAUUUUUUAUAAAAUAAUAUUUUUAAAAUAUAAAAAUUAAUAAAUAAUUAUUUAAUUUAUAAAAAUAACCGUUAAUUUAUUUAUUUAUAAAAUAAAUAUAUCAAAAUCUUUCGAUCUCUGAAUUCAUAUAUAAACUCUCAAUUAUGAAAUUUCAAUAGAGUUCAUUUGUACACUUCAGUUACAAUUUCUUCUCCAUAUACGUGGACCAAAAUAAAUUUUGUAAGUCUGAAUAGUGAAAAUAAAUACAUAUUUGAAAAUUAAAGAGUCCUUAAUCUAUGAGUUUUUAUAAAUCACAUUCGAUACAUGUUUUUAUAUUUUAUUAAUCACAUUUCCAUAUGAACUUGGACAGAAAUGCAUCUAAAUGCCACAUUAAAAGAAAGAAAUAAUACAGAUAAAUGACACAUAUACCUUACUCAUAUCUUGAAUUAUCAAUUGCUUGAGUAGUUAACCUCAACCAAAUAAGUAUUGAUAAUAAUAUAAUUACUCGCAUAUUUUAAAUAUAAUAAACGUUACUGUGUUUUUAAACAUUUGUAAUAUUCUUCGGCAAUAAAUAAGGAAAAAGAUAUACUUAGACUAAAUAUAUACGCUAAACUUUCACUAUAUAAAAAGGAAGAUGCAUUAAGACCAAAAAAAAAAAAAAAGUGAAUGUAUUUCCAACUAUUUUAUUUUAAUCAUUUUUAGUUUCAGCAAUAAAGUAAUAUAUUUUGUAACUCAAUUGUAUAUCAAUUGAGUCUAUCUCUUCAUUUCAAUUAUCAAAUACAUUACUUCAAUAUUUGACAUAUCCAUCGAUCUCAAUAUUAAUACGUUACUUUAUUUAUUCAAAUCAUUCGUCUAAAUUGAUACUUCUCUUCUAUGAAUUAUAUUGGUGAAAUUGUAUAUAUAUUAUUGAUAUAAAUGCUAAAUUGGGACGUAAAACUUUAUAUUAAUUUUUUUUAAAUCCACUUAAAUUAAAUAAAUAAAAAUAUACUCGCGCAAUACGCGGGUUAAAAUAUAGUUAAUAAGUUAUAUAUCAAUCUCAGUCAAAUAACACCGCAACAAAACAAGAAUACAAGCGGCGCUGUACCAAGGCAACAAACAAAACAUCACGUUCAAAAGAUGAAAUUAUUGACAAAACAUGAAAGAGAAAAUAAAUUUGUGUGUAAAUCACUUAUUUAAAUAAAAAGUGAAAAAAAAAACAAUAUGGAGAGUUGAUUUUCAGAGAAAAAAACACGAAACCACUCAUGGCUAAUGGAUGAAGUAGAAAAUAGACGACUAGGGUUUUUGAGCAAUGAAAUGGAAUUUUUUUUAUGGACAAAUGUUAAUAAAUUAGUUGUUAGGUUGUGCUAUAAUUCAACGAAAGUUUUAUUGUUUAUAAAGGAAUUGACCUACUUAACAAAAUAUUUAGAUAAACAUACAAAUUCAACAUUGCUAAAAAAUAAAUUUGUGAAUAUACUAAGUUAGUAUAUUUUCACAAUAAUGUUAUAUUUGAUUUUUUUUAUUAAUUACUAUGAGUAAUAUAUUUGCAUAAAAAUAUCUUAAAAUAUUUGUCGAUUUUAAAUUUUUAAUAUAAUUUUAAUAAUUUUCAUUUUUAAUUUAUAUUUUUGGUAAUUGAGAAUUCAUUAAUACUAGAUAAAAUUAUAAAAUUAUCAUUAUAUUUACUUAUUUAUAGUCACCUCAUAAUUUGUGUGUUAAAUCAUUUAUUGUCAAACAAAAAUGUAAUAUGUAUAACAAAUUUUCAUAUUAAUAUAUAUGAUCUUUUUUUUUAUCUCUAUUUAAUAAUUUUCUAGAUCUAUCACUAUAUUACAAUAUUUUUUUUUAUCUAUUUCUCUCUUAAUGUGUACUUUUUUAAUUUAUUUAUUUCUCUCAUAAUGUGUACCGCAAGUACAUGUCUCUCCAAAUAACUUUUAUUUUAUAUAUAUAAAACCAUAAGUAUGAUACCUUUCCGUCCUAUAUACUAAAGUGCUAGUUUAAAAAUAGGGUGGUGGUAUUCUAGUUUGUUCUAGGAGCUGCUAUUUAACGUUUGAUUUAGUGUGCGGGGUGUUUUGGUUGUUGAGCUCAUCAUAUUCGUUGUAGGGCAGGCCCAUGUUAUCAUGCAGGGCCCGGUCCAUGUCAUGAGACUUAAACUAAAUUUAUUAUAUGAAAUUUAUUUAAAAUUAAUAAAUAAAUUAUUGAUAUUUUAUUUAAAAUUCAUUUCUUAUAUUUUUUUUUAUGUAAAAUUAUUAAUCAAAUUAUUGUAAUCAAUUUUGUUUAGUAAUGUUUUUUCAAUUGAUAAUAAAAUUAAUUCAUUUAAUCUUUCUUAGGAUAUCGUUGAUCUUAGAUAAGAUUUAAUUAAUUUGAGUUUUGAACAAUAAAACCUGAUAAUUAAGAUACUAUUUGAAAUAAAAUAAAAAUCUAGUACUGUUUCACCCAAAUAAAAAUUGUUGAUUCCUCUACAAUUGAAAAAAAAAACUAAUAAUUUAAAACAUAAAUAUUUACUUAUAUGUCAUAUAAAUUAGAAAUAUAUAUAAACAGAUUAAAAAGUGAUGAAUAAAUUAAAAAUACAUUCCUUCAUAUAUUGUCGCCACUUAUAAGAACUAAGAAAAAAAACAAUUAUUUUAUUGUGUUGAUAUAAAAGUUUCAGGAAAUUUUAAUAUGAUAUUUUAAAAAGAUUUUUUUAGUGAAAACCAAUACCUUUUGCCUCAUUAUAUGAUUUUAAUAUUGACUAGUAUUAUAAACACAAAUAUCAAUUCAAAUAAUUAUUAUGUCAAAAAAUUGGAAAUUAAAAAUUUAUCUUUUUAUUUAUGUGUAUAAUUGCUGCAAUUUUAAAAUGUUUUUAUAACAUAUCAUUGGUCUCUAUACUUUAUAAAUAUUUUAAAAUAAAAAAAUUACUUUUUGGCUAGGCAUAGAGUAAGGCUUGCCUCUCCCUUAGACGCACUCGUUGAAGUGUGUAACUUUUUUUCUUGUCAAGGUUGUAAUUUUGUUCUUGUUGCUAACAUUGACCUAACCGGUGCUAACACAGAGUUAAUAUAAUUAAUUUGGUUGUUUGAUUGUUUUUUAAAAUAUAGGGUUUAUUGUAUUAUAAAUCAAAUUUAAUUUUAAUUCUUCAUAUCUUUUACUUUAGUCCAUGAAUAAAUUUGAUCUUCUAAAAAAUUGAUGUAGCAUGGACACCUGUCAAAAAAAAAAAAGCGGUGAGAUAAAUUAAUAAUUAAAAUUUUAUCUUUUACAUACUUUAUUAAUAAAUGGAAAACAAAUAAAAAAAGCAACCAAAUAAUAAAAAAAAAUAGUUAAUUUUUACUUCUUAAUACCUUAGCACAAUUUUAAAUAUGGUUAUGACACCUCAAAUUAGUUAAUAUCAAAUACAUAAACACAAAAAUAUAAUACUCUUUUCAUUCUAAAAUAAUUAUCGCAUUUGAUAAUUUGAUAUAAAUUUAAAAAAGAUAAUAAAAAAAUAUAAAUUAUAUUAUAAUAAUUUUAUUAAUUAUUGAUGUAUUUUAAUUAUUACAAAUACAAAAUAAGAAUAUUAAAUUAAAAAUAUUAAUUUGAGGAUAUAGUUGAAAAAAUUAAAUUAAAAUUAAUUGAAAACUAAAAGUAACAGUCUUAUAUUUUUUUAUAGUAUAUAUGAAGAACAAAGGUUUGCCAAAAAGUUAAGGAAUGAGAGGAAGGGUGCUAAAUCUAAUUACAUCAAAAUGCAAAAGAUAUAAGAAAUCAUUUAAAAUGACCCAAAUUAAGUAAUUAAAGUGAUUUAGACGAACAAGAACAUCAAUUUAAAAAUUCGUCUCGUGACUUGGUUUCAACUAUUGUUUGGCAUUGUGAUAAAGAGUAAAAAAACAAAAAAAAUAAGAUUAGAUUUGUAAUUGUAAUAAAUUUUAUAGUAUUUGUAAUAAUAAAAUUUAAAUUUGUUUAUUUUUUAGUUAAAUAUUCAACUAUAUAUAUUAAAUAUUUUUGAAUUAAAUAAAUAUCAUAUUAUGGAUAAUAACAUUUUUUUUAUAAUAGUGAAUUAUUUUUGCUCUUAUGAUAGUUCCAUAUUAGUAAGAAAUAAUAAGGAAAUUGGGCUUACCAAAAGCAGACAUUGCUAGGAAGAGGUAUCUACUGUGGCGAAUUCCAGAGACAGAUUCACGAAGUUCAAUUAGGAGAAAUAUGGUAUAGAAUUGCCAAAUGAAUGCUAUUGACAAACACACACUGCCCCAUGCCCUGAAAUCAUUGAUGAAAUUAUAAGGCAAAAUGUAACCCGUGAGUAGAUAUUGAAGACCAAAGUCUCUAUUCGUCGAUGUUAAAAUUUGUAUCCGAAAUGCAGGAAAUCUCUAACUCCAAAGAAAUUGUUGUCAAAUAGAAGAAGUGUGUGUGAGAUUUACAAUAAUAAUUAUAAUAAUGUUGAGUAAUACACGUACCAACCAAGAGUGGCAAAGGCAACAGGAAGCAUGAGAGCUUGAAAUGCAAUGUUGGAAUUAAGAAGAUGAAAAGCUGCAAAAUAUGUAUUACCAUUUCUAGAUUCAGUUAGAGGAAGCCACUCAUCUUUUGGAUGUUGAAUCUGGAUUUGGUCACUAGGUGAUGAGUGGUUAGAUUCAAAAGAACUUCUUAGAUCCGCUCUAUUUAUCAUCAUUCNNNNNNNNNNNNNNNNNNNNNNNNNNNNNNNNNNNNNNNNNNNNNNNNNNNNNNNNNNNNNNNNNNNNNNNNNNNNNNNNNNNNNNNNNNNNNNNNNNNNNNNNNNNNNNNNNNNNNNNNNNNNNNNNNNNNNNNNNNNNNNNNNNNNNNNNNNNAAUUAAUUAAUUAUUAUUUGUUUGUUUCUUAAGGAGCAUUUAAUGCUAAUAAGUAAGGAUGCUUGUGGACAAUAUCCUUAAUAGAUUCUAUUCGUCUUAUUUAUUCUUAAGAGAACCCCUCACCACAAACUAAAUAUUGUACAAAUUGACUGUAUUAUCCCUUCCCUUCCUGAUUUCAAAUUGAUCAAAUCUGUGAAUUAAUUAAUUAUUAUUUGUUUGUUUCUUAAGGAGCGUUUAAUACUAAUAAGUAAGGAAGCUUGUGGACAAUAUCCUAAAAUUUAAAAAAACAAAAUUCAUAUAAUUUACUAAAAUUUAAUUUGAAGAAUUAAGAGUUUAGAGUGAUUUCAAUAAUUUAAUCAAAAUCAAUUUUUUGAGUGUGAAACAUAAAUCUUUUGCACUCAAUCGAGUAAGAUAAAUUAUAAUUUACUAUAAAACUCUCUCUUAAAAUAUUUAAUAGUGCGUCAUUCAUAUUAACUCUCGUGAUUAGCCUUGUAUCCCUAAGAUAUCUCUUAAUUAAUAUUGCUAAAAUUUUAUUUUGUUAUCCACUUUAUUACACGUAAAGCUAUUAAUACGGGUUACUAGAACAGUAAUGAUCCACUUGAGAGUAUUGGGCCAACAGCACCAUUCAGCCCAAAGAAAUGCCAAAACGAAAAAUUAAAAAGCACUCUUAGCUAGAUGACAUAUCAGUUCGCAGCUCAGCAGAAGAAGUUAUUUUGAUUGAUUGUUGUCAAAAUUUUGAACAAGUCACGGACAGUAAAAAGAAGAAGAGUAUUACUAAUUUUUUUAUUUUAUAAAUUCAUUGAUAGUAGUUAUUAUUCACUUUAUACUUAAACAUUAUUAAUUUUAUAAAUAAUAUAUAAUCUUGUGAAAAAACACAUAUGAUAAAAGUAAACAAUAAAUUAUAAAAUAUUGUUUUGUGUUUCAAAUUUUAAUUUUAAUAGAAGUAUAUGUUAAAUUCGCAAUCUUUCUUUUGUUUAUACUCUGUUUCUAUAUUAAAUAAAAAAAACAAAAAAAAUCAUCAAAACAAAAUGAGACUUAUUUAACAUGUUAGCUUUAUUUAUUUUUGACUAAAUUACAUCGGCGGUCCUUUAUAAGGAGCAUUUAAUGCUAAUAAGUAAGGAUGCUUGUGGACAGUAUCCUUAAUAGAUUCUAUUCGUCUUAUUUAUUCUUAAGAGAACCCCCACCACAAAUUAAAUAUUGUACAAAUUGACUGUAUUAUCCCUUCCCUUCCUGAUUUCAAAUUGUUUCCUUUAUAUAGUAGAUAUCAAAUCUGUAAAUUAAUUAAUUAUUAUUUGUUUGUUUCUUAAGGAGCAUUUAAUGCUAAUAAGUAAGGAUGCUUGUGGACAGUAUCCUUAAUAGAUUCUAUUCGUCUUAUUUAUUCUUAAGAGAACCCCCACCACAAAUUAAAUAUUGUACAAAUUGACUGUAUUAUCCCUUCCCUUCCUGAUUUCAAAUUGUUUCCUUUAUAUAGUAGAUAUCAAAUCUGUAAAUUAAUUAAUUAUUAUUUGUUUGUUUCUUAAGGAGCAUUUAAUGCUAAUAAGUAAGGAUGCUUGUGGACAGUAUCCUUAAUAGAUUCUAUUCGUCUUAUUUAUUCUUAAGAGAACCCCCACCACAAAUUAAAUAUUGUACAAAUUGACUGUAUUAUCCCUUCCCUUCCUGAUUUCAAAUUGUUUCCUUUAUAUAGUAGAUAUCAAAUCUGUAAAUUAAUUAAUUAUUAUUUGUUUGUUUCUUAAGGAGCAUUUAAUGCUAAUAAGUAAGGAUGCUUGUGGACAGUAUCCUUAAUAGAUUCUAUUCGUCUUAUUUAUUCUUAAGAGAACCCCCCCACAAACUAAAUAUUGUACAAAUUGACUGUAUUAUCCCUUCCCUUCCUGAUUUCAAAUUGUUUCCUUUAUAUAGUAGAUAUCAAAUCUGUAAAUUAAUUAAUUAUUAUUUGUUUGUUUCUUAAGGAGCAUUUAAUGCUAAUAAGUAAGGAUGCUUGUGGACAGUAUCCUUAAUAGAUUCUAUUCGUCUUAUUUAUUCUUAAGAGAACCCCCCACCACAAACUAAAUAUUGUACAAAUUGAUUGUAUUAUCCCUUCCUUUCCUGAUUUCAAAUUGUUUCCUUUAUAUAGUAGAUAUCAAAUAUGUAAAUUAAUUAAUUAUUAUUUGUUUGUUUCUUAAGGAGCAUUUAAUGCUAAUAAGUAAGGAUGCUUGUGGACAAUAUCCUUAAUAGAUUCUAUUCGUCUUAUUUAUUCUUAAGAGAACCCCCCACCACAAACUAAAUAUUGUACAAAUUGACUGUAUUAUCCCUUCCCUUCCUGAUUUCAAAUUGAUCAAAUCUGUGAAUUAAUUAAUUAUUAUUUGUUUGUUUCUUAAGGAGCAUUUAAUGCUAAUAAGUAAGGAAGCUUGUGGACAGUAUCCUUAAUAGAGUAAGUCUAAAAUUUCUAUACUAGAGAUAUAGAUUAAUAUUAAUUACGUGGACAAUAGAUCAUGAAUUUUUGUGGUAAUUAUGACUUUAUGAGUGUCUAUGGACAAUAUUUGCUUCUUAAUUACGUGGGUCACAUAGAUCAUGAAUUUUUGUGGUAAUUAAAUUGUUUUUCAUGGAGCAUAGUAUUGGAAACUAUCUGUGGGGCCCAAAACGCAGGCCGACAACUAUGGCAAUCCCGGAACGAAGGCUUAAUGACGGGCUUGGAUCUUUUAGCCCAACUUGAUAAUAGCCACGUUUAAUUAAUCAUAGGGUGCAGUUUGUUAAAAAGUUGUCUUUUGUACCUCCUAUUAAUCAUAUAUCUCUCAUUUAAAAAAUUUAUGUUUAAAAUAAUCAAAAUACUUUUAAUAAAAAUGUAAAAAUCAAAAAGUUUCCUCUUACCUCCACAAAUUGUGUUUUUCGAAAAAGUGAGUACUGGUGAAUUUUUAAAUUGAUAUUUCCAAGAGUAUCAUCUGGAAAUUUGAAAUUACCGGUAUUGAAAACCAAUACCGGAUAUUUCAAAUUUCCGAGUGGUACUCCCGGAUAUUUUAAAAUUGAAAAUUCCUAUUAUGAUUUAGAACUAUCAGAAUUUGAAAUUUUUGCGAUGUUCAUCGGAAAUUUCAUUCCUCAUUGAAAAUUCUGGAACAGUUUUUGUUUGAUCAGUUGUGAAUACUUCAGUUAAAUCUAUACAUACUGAUUGUGUUUUUUCAAUCCCUAUUUCAAAAAAAAUAAAUAAAUAACAUACUGGAUUUUUGAAAAUUCCGGUUAAGUAUAAUAACUAUCAGAUAUUUCAAAAAUUUGAAAUUUUCGAGUAAGAAAAUGUAAUUACCCGAAAUUUCAAAUUUCUGGUAAUGUAAAUAUGACUACCAGACAUUAUUAUAAAUACCUAUCGAAAAUUUGGUAGUGAAAUUUCCGGUAACUUAAUUGAACUACUGAAAUUUUGAAAUAUGAAAUUUUUGGUAGUGAAUUUUUGUGUACCGAAAUUUAAGGUAAAAAUGUUACGUAUCGAAAAUUUAAUUAAGUGGUGAGAUUUUGAAGUAAUUUUUUUUUACCAAUUAGUAAAUAAAAUCUUUAAAGAUAGUUUUGAGUUUUUAAUAAAUUGAAGAGUAUAAAAUUAAUUGAGGGUACAAAAAGUAACUUUCUCAUAUUGUUAAUUAUGGUGGGCGCCCUUUAGUCUUUAGUGGUUAUUGUUGUUGGUUUUCUGUAUAAUGUAUUGUUAAUUCGCCUCUUCUCAAUGUUUAUUUUUUUAAGGUGUUGUAAUGUUGUUUAUUGUAAUUUUGAUAUGCAAUGGGUAGUGUAAAUCUACAUCGGAUAGUGUUGUAAUACUAUUCUCCUUGGCUUCUUUUCCCUAGAUUAUGACUUUCUAUAGUUCAUGGAUGAAGUAAAACAAUUUUUAAUUAUGUUUUUGUAGACAUAGAACCUUAAUCUGAUCCAAAAAUGAAUUGUUUGAAAGACUUGGCAACCGUUUUGAUGUUUGGUUUAUUAAAUCUAUCCAUCAUCCAAGGAUGACUAUAGCAUGGAAUAAUUUUUGAGAUUUAUGACUCAUUGAAGACCAUCUUAGGUUAAUUAGGUAUUUUGGAAACAAUCAAUUUAGUCUUGAUGUCUACGCUGAACUAGCUUAUUAUGCCUCAUUUGCAAGCUAUCAUACUAAGCACUCGCAAUAUGAUUCCCAAGCUAUUAUAAUAAAUAAAUUAUUUAUUAAUCAUAUAUAUAUAUAUAUAUAUAUAUAGUUUAUUUAUUUUAAAUUAUUUACUAUAAAUUAUAUAAAUUAUUAUUCAAAUAGUUUAUUUUUAAUUAUAAUAUAUAAACUAUAAAAGAUAAAACAAAAUUUAGUUUCAAUAAUAAAAAAUUAAAUUAAAAGAAAAAUAAUAAACUAUAAUUAUAAGCAUAAACUACUUGAAUGCUCAUCAAAUAUUGAUAUAUGCUCACAAAUACAACUACCAAAUAGAACUUAUAAGCAAUUCGUUCGAACUUAUAAUACAUAAUCUAUCGCAAUAGUUUUAAACCUCCAUAAAAAGUUAACUUUUUAAUUAUUGUAAAAGAUUACAAUUUAUUUUAAACUUCCUAAUAAAAGUGUCUCAUAUUCUAAUAUUUGUAAAUCUAAAAUUAAUUAACUUAAUUAAUAAUUAAAAAAUAUUAUAUAAAAUUGGUUAUAUUAAUUUAAUAAAUAAUUUUUAGUCUAAAUUUUUAUAAAAAAAUUAUAAUUUCUUUUAAUAAUUUUACUAAAAUAUAUUUAUAAAUUUUAAAAAAUCUUAUAAUAAAAUUUGCUUUCACCUUUCUUAUGUGGUGCCCGAUCCUGAAUCUUAUAUUUCAGAAAUUAUUUCCUAUUAAUUAAAAAUGAACCGCCACAGACAACAUAUGGGUUGGAAAUAUUUUUGUGAUCAUGACAAUUUCUUUCGCAUCAUUGGGAGUUUAAUUUUCUCACGAUUGGAGAAAACACUAAAAAUUGAUAUUUAGCUUUUGAGGUUGAGCUCUUUUCAAUUAGUUUCGUUUAUUAUUUUGUAUGGUUUGUUUGUUGGUUGUGUGACUCUAACAAGACAUUGUCUUUAUGAAUGUACAGUUUUUAUUGUGUCUUUAUUAAUUUUAGUAAUCUUCCCAAUUGAAUUAUUAAGCAAUGUUAACCUAUUAAAUAUUGGUCAAGCUGCUUCAAGUCCAGACAUAUAUUUUUCGGACGACGCAGCAUCUGAUCCGUGGGGGACAAAUUAUUAUUAUUUUGAUUAAAAGGGGACACAUUAUUCUUAUGAAUAAAUUAGAAUAUAUUAGUUAGAUUUCAUUACAAAAAUUAUAAAGGGUACAAAUUAUUAUUACUAAUUAAUUAUAAUUAAAAUUAGUAUUUUUUUUUAAGAACAUGGACAGAAAACAAGAACAUUUAUAAUACUUAUAAAAGAAUUUCUCACUUCAAUGUUUUAGGUUGUUUUUCUAAAUAUCAAUUACUAAAGAAAUUGUUGGAACUUACAAUUAAUAUACAAAACAAAUAUUUGUAUAAAUUAAUUAAAUUUAAUACUUUUAUAUUUUCUAAAUAAAAAUAAUUAUAGAAUAUUAGUUAUAAAUUAUUAUAAAAGGUGAAGACAUUAUGUUCUAGAAUAAAAUAUUUGUUUUUUAAAUUUGUUGGUGAUAUAUAUAUGAUAUUGUUAAAAAAUAAAAUGAAUACUCUAUUCAUUUUCUCCUUGACAAACUAUACACAGCAUAUAAACGUUUAUGAAUUUAAAUUAAAAUAUGAUAAUUUACAGGUUAAUUUUUAUAUCACUAAUUCAAACAUACUUUAUGCACAUCCUCUUUGGGCUUGGGAAGCUUAAUGUCACGGUGGACAAAAUAUCUACCUUAAAAUGUGCCGCUAGAGUUAAAGGAGUCAUAAUAAAUUUCUAGUUUUAAUUAUUUUUAUAAUAGAAGACGUCAUAAUAUAUUUGAGUUUGAUAGCAAAAUAAAGUAAUAUAUGUACUUGCUCUAGUACUUGGACAUCUUAUAAGAGGGUGUGUAUAUUAUAUUAUAUGGGUACAUCUUUAUCAUUCUAAAAAAAAUAGCAAUUGCAAAUACUUUUAUAAUGCUUUUAACUAUUACAGUGGUUGAAAUGAUUUCUUAAAAUAAUGUAAAAUUAUAGUAAAGUUGAUUUAAUAAUAGUAUUUUAUAAGUGAGGCAAUUACUCAUUCGCAAACUUGUAUCGGCGCCGCAACCUGCAGUACACUUUCGCAAGCUUGAAAUAUCGAAGCACUUCGCAAAACAAAACGAGAGUUGUGGUUUCAACAUGUGUCAUUUUGCAAAACAAUUUGGUUGGGCCUAAGAUCAUAUUUGUCACACAAACACUUAGUUGAUUGUUUAUUCCAUAUAUCUAUAAUUAUAUAUUAGAUCAAUAUUGCCUAUAAAAGACUAUAAUGCGCUAUAUUUCUUAAAGAUUUUUUGGAGUGGUUGAAAGUGUUUCUUUAUCGUCUUCUAUUUGUCAUGUUGUCGUGUUUAUGUAUCUAUUUAUUUUUUCAGAGUUUAAUGUAGAUGUUUAAAAUAGUUUUACACAAUGAAAAUUAAUGACGAUGCAGCAUUCAAUAAAAAAAAUUCUACUACACCACCCUAUAUAUAUUAUUAUUUUAAAAUUUAUAGUCUGUCAUGAAAAACUGAAUCUUUUAUUAAUAUUGUUAUAAAAUUAUUUUAUAUUGAUUUUAUAUCACCAUUAAAUCUUUUACAUAAUUUAUAAUAUUUUCAUAUAAGUUUACAUCAUAAUUGUAUUCAAAAUAUUUAUAUAAAAAAACUGUAUUUUAAAUAUAAACAUAAAAUACACUAUUUUUAUUUGCUACUAGUAUAAAAGUAAUUUAUAUCGAUAGAAUAUCCUCGUUAUCUCAUGUUGUUUUAAUUGAAUUUUUAUUUAAUAUGAUUUUAAUUUGUAUGCAUAAUAAAAAGUUUUAUAUUACGGUAUAAAUAAAAUAUAUUUAAUCUCAUAAAUACAAUUCAGAUGAUAAUUAUAAUGGCAUUUGAUAUAUUAAAAUAUAAAUUUGAAUGUAUGAUAUCACAUUUUUAUUAAUAUUAGUGUGUAUUUCACUACUAAAAUCUUUAAAAAUAAAUAAAUAAAUCUUUUAGAUAUGUUAUAAUACUUUUAUAAAUACUGACACAAAAAUUUAUAUUACUAUCAUUUUAAUUUAUGAAAUUGUAUCCAUAGUAGANNNNNNNNNNNNNNNNNNNNNNNNNNNNNNNNNNNNNNNNNNNNNNNNNNNNNNNNNNNNNNNNNUAUAUAUAUAUAUAUAUAUAUAUAUAUACUCACGUGUCGAGUGUGUAAUUUUGAAACUUAGCUUUUAAUUUAGAAUUUUUUUAUAUUUUUAAUUUAAUUAAUAAUUAAUGCAUCUAAAUGAUUAUAUAUUAUAGAAUUAUGUAUCACAUCAUUUAAAAUAUGUCAAAUUAUUAUUUUUUCAAAAAUCUGAAAUAUAAAUCUGUCAAUUAUUAAAAUAUGAAGAUUAAUUCUGUCUAAAUCUGCAUUUAAACCUUUUAUAUAUUUUACUAUAAUAAUUACUAUAUUUAUGUCUAAGAGAUAGAUUUGAUCUGAGGAGUGUAAAACUGCUAGUUUAAUUUAUACCAAAAAAAGAAAAAUUGCCCAGUUUAGUAAAACAGUAUACAAAUUAUUUAUAGUAAUCUAGUUGUAUCCCAGGUGGACCCAGUAACUGUUAAUAGUUGGUUAUAACAAUCUAACUCUCUCAUCACAAUCGCAACUUAAUUCUUCUUCUUCAAUAGAUUCUGUAAGCUAUAUAUACUAACACGAACAUUACAUAUUGUAGCAGACAUUACAUUAAUUAAAUUAAACAAAACAAAACAUAGUAUGAGUAAUGAAAACACAGAAGGAGUAUUACGAAACGGGUUUUUCCCUGAAGAUUCGUUUAAGAAUUGGGAUGAAUAUAGAAAAGCGUUUAUGGAAAUACCUUUUAGGUUAAAGGAUAGGGCUUUCACCCGAUCCAAAGACUAUAUGGAGAUUGUUGAAAUGAAGGCUCGGAGUAACAACCAAAUGAAGAAAACACUUAAUUGGUGGGAUCUUAUUUGGUUCGGAAUUGGAGCCGUUGUAGGUUCGGGCAUUUUUGUUCUUACCGGACUUGAGGCUCGGGAGGAAGUAGGUCCCGCCGUCGUUUUAUCUUACGUCGUUUCCGGUAUCUCUGCUUUGCUUUCCGUAUUCUGUUACACCGAAUUCGCCGUUGAAAUUCCAGUGGCAGGUUUUUCCCUCUACUGAUCUCUCUCUCUUUUCAUAUUACACUGUAUUUAAUUAGACAGUAAUUGAAUUAUUUAUUUAUUUAUUGAUAAUCAGGUGGAUCGUUUGCAUACUUGAGAGUAGAAAUGGGAGACUUUGUGGCGU